This 486-nucleotide ribosomal RNA is filed under the name uncultured bacterium. RNAcentral's name for it is "bacterial SSU rRNA". It matches the Rfam family "Bacterial small subunit ribosomal RNA", at positions 30 to 523 of the family's 1533-position model. The record is from RNAcentral.
AGUGAACGCUGGCGGCAGGCCUAACACAUGCAAGUCGAGCGGCAGCGCGUCCGACCACCCUCGGGUGGUCGGAUGGCGGCGAGCGGCGGACGGGUGAGGAAUGCAUCGGAAUCUGCCUCGUUGUGGGGGAUAACGUAGGGAAACUUACGCUAAUACCGGCAUACGACCUACGGGUGAAAGUGGGGGACCUUCGGGCCUCACGCGAUGAGAUGAGCCGAUGCCGGAUUAGCUAGUUGGCGGGGUAAAGGCCCACCAAGGCGACGAUCCGUAGCUGGUCUGAGAGGAUGAUCAGCCACACUGGAACUGAGACACGGGUCCAGACUCCUACGGGAGGCAGCAGUGGGGAAUAUUGGACAAUGGGCGAAAGCCUGAUCCAGCAAUGCGCGUGAGUGAUGAAGGCCUAGGGUGUAAAGCNUUUACCAGGGAUGAUAAUGACAGUACCUGGAGAAUAAGCUCCGGCUAACUCCGUGCCAGCAGCCGCGGUAA